UACGGAGGGAGCUAGCGUUGUUCGGAAUCACUGGGCAUAAAGCGCACGUAGGCGGCUGGGUCCGUCCGAUGUGAAAGCCCCCGGCUCAACCGGGGAAUUGCAUCGGAUACAGCCCGGCUUGAGGACGGUUGGGGUGAGUGGAACUCCUGGUGGAGCGGUGAAAUGCGUAGAUAUCAGGAGGAACACCGGUGGCGAAAGCGGCUCACUGGACCGUUUCUGACGCUGAGGUGCGAAAGCUAGGGGAGCAAACGGG
Molecule: ribosomal RNA, 253 nt
Filed under: uncultured bacterium
Lineage: Bacteria
Description: partial 16S ribosomal RNA
Rfam family: Bacterial small subunit ribosomal RNA
Source: RNAcentral